GACGAACGCUGGCGGCGUGCUUAACACAUGCAAGUCGAGCGGAAAGGCCCUUCGGGGUACUCGAGCGGCGAACGGGUGAGUAACACGUGAGUAACCUGCCCUAGGCUUUGGGAUAACCCCGGGAAACCGGGGCUAAUACCGGAUAUGACCUGGUGCCGCAUGGUGUUGGGUGGAAAGUUUUUUCGGCCUGGGAUGGGCUCGCGGCCUAUCAGCUUGUUGGUGGGGUGAUGGCCUACCAAGGCGAUGACGGGUAGCCGGCCUGAGAGGGCGACCGGCCACACUGGGACUGAGACACGGCCCAGACUCCUACGGGAGGCAGCAGUGGGGAAUAUUGCACAAUGGGCGGAAGCCUGAUGCAGCGACGCCGUGUGAGGGAUGAAGGCCUUCGGGUUGUAAACCUCUUUCAGCAGGGACGAAGCGUGAGUGACGGUAUCUGCAGAAGAAGCGCCGGCCAACUACGUG
This 462-nucleotide ribosomal RNA is filed under the name uncultured bacterium. Its description in RNAcentral is "partial 16S ribosomal RNA". It matches the Rfam family "Bacterial small subunit ribosomal RNA", at positions 28 to 507 of the family's 1533-position model. The record is from RNAcentral.